Molecule: small nucleolar RNA, 128 nt
Organism: Rattus norvegicus (Norway rat)
Lineage: Eukaryota; Metazoa; Chordata; Mammalia; Rodentia; Muridae
Product: small nucleolar RNA SNORA17
Source: Ensembl
CUUCCCCCUAGAGGCCUUUGCAGGUGUGGAUGUUGUCAUUCAUUACAUUAGGUGGCAGAGAGGAGAGAAACUAUGUCUACUACAAUGUUCUGACCUAUGAAUAUCUGAGGGAUUAGUAGCAUAACAUU